AGGACUAACGCUGGCGGCGUGCCUAACACAUGCAAGUCGAACGAACGUAGCAAUACGUUAGUGGCAGACGGGUGAGUAACGCGUAGUCAACCUACCUCUUAGUGGGGGAUAACUAAUCGAAAGGUUAGCUAAUACCGCAUACGAUCGUCGAGUGGCAUCACUUGACGAUGAAAGCAGCAAUGCGCCGAGAGACGGGACUGCGUCCCAUUAGUUAGUUGGUGGGGUAAUGGCCUACCAAGACUCCGAUGGGUAGCUGGCUUGAGAGAGCGACCAGCCACACUGGAACUGAGACACGGUCCAGACUCCUACGGGAGGCAGCAGUGAGGAAUUUUCCGCAAUGGGGGCAACCCUGACGGAGCGACGCCGUGUGUGGGAAGAAGGCCUUCGGGUCGUAACCACUGUCGAAGGGGACGAUAUUGACGGUACCCUUGGAGGAAGCCCGGCUAACUACGUGCCAGCAGCCGC
This 465-nucleotide ribosomal RNA is filed under the name uncultured bacterium. RNAcentral describes it as "SSU rRNA". It matches the Rfam family "Bacterial small subunit ribosomal RNA", at positions 26 to 518 of the family's 1533-position model. The record is from RNAcentral.